AACGAACGCUGGCGGCAUGCCUAACACGUGCAAGUCGAACGAGACCUUCGGGUCUAGUGGCGCACGGGUGCGUAACGCGUGGGAACCUGCCCUUAGGUUCGGAAUAACUCGCCGAAAGGGGUGCUAAUACCGGAUAAUGUCUUCGGACCAAAGAUUUAUCGCCUUUGGAUGGGCCCGCGUUGGAUUAGCUAGUUGGUAGGGUAAAAGCCUACCAAGGCGACGAUCCAUAGCUGGUCUGAGAGGAUGAUCAGCCACACUGGGACUGAGACACGGCCCAGACUCCUACGGGAGGCAGCAGUGGGGAAUAUUGGACAAUGGGCGAAAGCCUGAUCCAGCAAUGCCGCGUGAGUGAUGAAGGCCUUAGGGUUGUAAAGCUCUUUUACCCGGGAUGAUAAUGACAGUACCGGGAGAAUAAGCUCCGGCUAACUCCGUG
Molecule: ribosomal RNA, 433 nt
Filed under: uncultured bacterium
Lineage: Bacteria
Description: partial 16S ribosomal RNA
Rfam family: Bacterial small subunit ribosomal RNA
Source: RNAcentral